UGCCGCAGCUGCCACCUCGCUGCCCGGGCUCGGAUCCUCUCUCGGCUUGGCCACCGGGCAGGGACGCCCCGGAGGUGACUUCAAGUCCCAGAGUCCUCGCUGACACCGGGGCACGGGCCGGGACAGCAAGCUGCCAGCCUCGCGGAAACUCGGGGAGCAGGAGGGCGAGGUCCGGAGACCCCCGAGUUCGAACCCUGACUGCGGCGCUGUGCAACCCCCUCGAUGUGAGCUCGGCCUCUCUGAGCCCCUGUCUUUUCUGUUUGCUGAGACGGAGAAGCGCAUCUGGAGAUCUCGCCUUUGAGACUUUGGUGAGCACCGAAGGAACCGGUCACUCAGGGCAAAGCCACAGAGGAACAGACAGCUAGAAGCCAGGAGUCCAGGAGCUGGUGCCCUGGGUAACCAGUGACCAUGAGCGGCUGUCUUCCCGUCACCAGCCUCCGAUGCCUGACGAGAGUGUGUCGUGGCCUGGCGCAGAAGGCUCCCACCUUCCCCAGCCCUCCUGCCGCCUGCUUGCUUCGGACCCUGGCAGAAACCCCGCCCUCUCACCCACUCCUCCCGGGGGACCUGGCAAGUGAUCGGUGGUGCGCUCCUCCCUGUGCUGACAGGGCCCCAGGAGCGGUGGAGAAGCCCUGUCCCCUCCCGGGCCCCUGCCCAGCGCCACCUGCUGGUAGCAGCUCCCAGAGAGCCACCCAAUCACUGCUGGGGCUGAGGCCCCGGCCCCGCCCCGGCUCCCAGGCCCCAAGCUGGCGCUCCCGCCCACAGCUGUGCUCCUGGAGCCCGGUUCCUCGGGGUCCAGCGCUGUCCCAAGAGCCACUGACCCACCAGGGAGGGAAGGUAGAAGUGGAGGCUGCCCCGGCUGGCAGAUGUGUGGUUUCCUGGCAGGAACACGGGUGUUCUCACCACCCGCGGCCCAGGCCACCCUUCCCCCUCUGAAGUCCACACCCGCGGAGUCCCAGUGGCCCUGGAAGGGAGUGGCAGGACCAGGAGCCAAGGGAGCCCUUCUGGGUUCGGUUCCGGGGGCCCCGGGGGCAGAAGCCCAGAGCGGGUUCCCGAGAAGGGCAGGGGUGGGCG
Long non-coding RNA from Fukomys damarensis (Damara mole-rat), 1071 nucleotides. RefSeq lists it as uncharacterized. The transcript has 4 exons. The record is from RefSeq and is a predicted model, not a curated record. Lineage: Eukaryota; Metazoa; Chordata; Mammalia; Rodentia; Bathyergidae.